UGGGGAAUAUUGGACAAUGGGCGGAAGCCUGAUCCAGCAACGCCGCGUGAGGGAUGACGGCCUUCGGGUUGUAAACCUCUUUCAGUACCGACGAAGCGAAAGUGACGGUAGGUACAGAAGAAGGACCGGCCAACUACGUGCCAGCAGCCGCGGUAAUACGUAGGGUCCGAGCGUUGUCCGGAAUUAUUGGGCGUAAAGGGCUCGUAGGCGGUUUGUCGCGUCGGGAGUGAAAACAGCGGGCUUAACUCGUUGCUUGCUUUCGAUACGGGCAGACUAGAGGUAUGCAGGGGAGAAUGGAAUUCCUGGUGUAGCGGUGAAAUGCGCAGAUAUCAGGAGGAACACCGGUGGCGAAGGCGGUUCUCUGGGCAUUACCUGACGCUGAGGAGCGAAAGUGUGGGGAGCGGAACAGGAUUAGAUACCCUGGUAGUCCACACCGUAAACGUUGGGCGCUAGGUGUGGGGUCCUUUCCACGGAUUCCGUGCCGUAGCUAACGCAUUAAGCGCCCCGCCUGGGGAGUACGGCCGCAAGGCUAAAACUCAAAUGAAUUGA
This 549-nucleotide ribosomal RNA is filed under the name uncultured bacterium. Its description in RNAcentral is "partial 16S ribosomal RNA". It matches the Rfam family "Bacterial small subunit ribosomal RNA", at positions 355 to 913 of the family's 1533-position model. The record is from RNAcentral.